CUAUCAUGAUGCAUCAUCACAUUUCAUCAAAAAUCAUCAUAGCAAAAGGUCAUUUUUCAAGUGUUCAUUUUAAAAAUUGGUGGGAAAAAUAGUGAAUUUUCAAAAUACAAGGCAUUUGCAUACAAAACCUUUUCCAACACAUCAUAAACAUCAAAUAUGACUUGCUUGAACUGGUUUUGUACUGUUGCAUUGGCUACAUUGUGAAAAGGGCAUUUUGGCCAAUUAUGCAUAAACCUCAUUUUGCUAAUUCACUUCCAAUUUGCCUAAUUGUGAUUAACACUUGGAUUAAGACAUGGU
Molecule: long non-coding RNA, 297 nt
Filed under: Lathyrus oleraceus (garden pea)
Lineage: Eukaryota; Viridiplantae; Streptophyta; Magnoliopsida; Fabales; Fabaceae
Description: Pisum sativum (pea) long non-coding RNA (PSAT_LNC014719)
Source: RNAcentral